ACAAAGGAUUUACUGCCGGUGGCAUGAUAUUAGGUAUUAAUGCCCUAAACUUCCAUCUAAUACGCUGGUUGCUAUAGGGUCUACCCCUAGGAUGCAUAAGACAGGUCGUACCUAGGAAGACCGAAAGCUGACCAGUGGCCACCUUAAUCCAGGGACGUAUAGUUUUCAUUAAGGUGCCCUGCCCUAGCGUCGUCUCUGUAUGGGGAUCAGCUGGUUUAAGCGGCAAAGACAUUUCUCAUUUCUGGUGCAGA
This 251-nucleotide unclassified non-coding RNA is filed under the name Bombus terrestris (buff-tailed bumblebee). RNAcentral's name for it is "misc RNA ENSBTSG00005034188.1". Lineage: Eukaryota; Metazoa; Arthropoda; Insecta; Hymenoptera; Apidae. The record is from RNAcentral.